RNAcentral lists this long non-coding RNA (20601 nucleotides) under Panax ginseng (ginseng). Its description in RNAcentral is "long non-coding RNA (PGIN_LNC004110)". The record is from RNAcentral. Lineage: Eukaryota; Viridiplantae; Streptophyta; Magnoliopsida; Apiales; Araliaceae.
UACCCAAAUAAAAUAACAUUUAACCAUAAAUCCUCCCUUUAAAUAGGGUUACAUUAUUAAAUAAAAUCUUCUCAGGUUGUCUAACCUUUAAACAUCAUUCAAGUGCAGAAAUAAAAUUAUUACAUCACAUCAUUAUUUAAAAGUACUCUAUGACCAUCACAAUAAAUAAAAAUUACAAGUCCGCAUCACUUGUACAUUUUCCCCUUUCCUUUCCUAGUUGAAGGCUCAUCUACCUUCUCAACUUUAGCUGCAAUGAGUGUAUAAAUAUGCAAGAGUGAGCAAAACAAAUGCUCACUAGAUAUAUCAAUGAGUCAACAAGAAUAUAAUAGCUACCAAUAAAUAAGUUCAUCAAAACUGAAUAGUACUCUAUCAAUGAUAACCAAAGACUGGAAUCAAAAUAUGGAAUAUAAAUAUCUGAGGGUCAUAAGACCACGAACUAUGUCCACAGUUGCGAGUAAUCUUUCAACUCCAACUUUAACAUUCAUAAGACUAUAAAGACUCCUCGUACUUAGGGGGAUCAACCCUUUGUACAAUAUAUUGUGCACAAACAUUUCAACGCUAAGCGUAAAUUAUCCCCUAAUAAUAGGGUUGUUCAUCUCAGUAUUUAGAGUACAAGUCCGCACCAAAGAAAGUUUGGUUUGGAUAAGCUUUCAGGGGUAAUUUGAAGUUUAAUGAUCAUCAACUAGAGGACUAGUUGAAUCAAUAGUGUUUGAUAACACAACAGUUGAUCAAUAAUAACAUAAUAUGGAACAAUGAAUAAGUGUAAGCGAACUAACUAUAUUUCGAACUCAUGCUUAGAAACAACUACAAUGCAUAAGUAUUGAAUGACAAUAAACCUUGCUUGAACAAUAUUAAGCUAGGACUAUAAAUUAUUGAAUAUACAUUAAGUAAUAGCAAACUGAAAAAUAAAGCUUGCUCAAUAUGAGAAUAACUUGUGUCAAACAAAUGAAAUAAGAUAAUUCAACAUUAGAAUUAGAAUUCAAGAAAAUUUCAUUCGUAAUACACGAAUGACAAUAAUGAAACUUGUCUAACAAUAAACAAGUUAGAAUACAUCAAUAAAUAUUGGAAUUCAAAACUUGUUCGAAUAAAGUUAAAGUCAUAGCUAGCUUGCUCAAAUAAUGAUUAGGAAUACAAGAGUUCGCUUAAUGAAAGUUUAAAGUAAGAAACUUGCUCAAUGUAAAAAGAUAAGGUUUAGAAACUUGCUCAAUGUAAAAAGAUAAGGUUUAGAAACUUGCCUCGAGCGUAAGCUAUAAUAUUAAACUCACGUUCACCUACACAUAGGUUUAGAACCACAAUACCUAUUAGAUAUGCUAACAUUCACUUACCAUAUGCAUUUCUAGUUAGACUUAUUAUACUAGCACGAGUCUUAUGCUAUCAUACACAUUUCAGAAUUUUCAAGUGUUAACAUCACAACACCUAUCUAACAUUCAUUAUAUAAACUAAGUUAUAACACAACACGUUCAUAGUUUAUAAUCAUUUGAAACUUUGAAAUUACUAACCACCUAACAUGAUUCUGUUUUGACCAUAUUAUUACAUGUUUAACACCUUAACAUAACCUUAGACCAAGCUAUAGGGGUGCUACAAGGUCUGCAAUAACAGCAGAACAAAUUGUCUCAAGACAGGGUAUGGCACAGCUGCGCUAUACACAGGCCUGGGAUCAGCGCAGCUGCGUAGUUUUUUUGCCUUGGCACCAACGCAGCUGCGCUGGUGCACAGACAAAGGUAGAGACGACUAUGAACAGUAGCCGACUUUAGCCCAACAAACACAAAUUUCACCCACUAGACAAUAAUAUAUAUCAACAUGUACAACUGAUAUAGAACCACCACAAACGCAUUUGCUAACAUAUUCAACCAAUUAAAACAAUUUAACAUCAACUAAAACUAGUUUAAUUUCUCAAAUUCCAUAUUUUCACAAAAAAACAUCAUUUUUGAGUUCCUGACACAAAAAUCAAUAUUGUAAUCUCUAUACUUGGCCAAAUUGCUUCGUUCAAAUUACGUUAUGCCCGUUUCUUAAUGAACUAACAUAUACAAGACUCAAUUUACAGUUUAACAUACGAAUUGACCAUCAAAAUUGAUGCUUACACAAGCCAUAUGAGAAAUACAAACACUGUCAUUAUUUUUCCUACUGUUAAACGAAAUUAGCAUGCAAUUUCCUUAUUUAAACAUAAACUUUAGCAUCAUAAACACAUAUACUCACAAUUAUCAGUUAUUUAUAUCAACAAUUCAUCAAUUUGAUUUCACAGAACAUAAACAAAACUAUGCCGUGAUACACAUAAACAUAUAUAUAUACACACACACACACAAUACUAAGGUUAUGCAAAAAUACCUUUAAUUUACUUGUAAUCUUUGCUAUCACCACUACUAUGAAAUCCUCAGGUUUCCUCUCAACUCUCUCUCAAUUCUCUCUGAAUGUUCUUCUCUUUUUUCUCAGCAACUAGAAUGCGUAAAAAAAACUGAUAGUUAUAAUGCGUAAAACUGCUAAUCCUUAAUACGCCAAACUUAAUAAAAUAUCAGUUACAAAACCAACGUAUAUAUUAUAAAUAUAUUAUAUUUAUUAUUUUAAUUUAUUUUAUUUUAAUUCAAAUAUUAAAAUCCAAAAGCCAUAAGGCUUUGUUUGGCAAAACCCUUUAAAUUUUAAAGACUUAAUAUAUUUAAGCCUUGUUUGGCAAAACUAAAUUAAACUCUCUUAAUUUAUUUUAAUAAACCAUUUAGUUUAUAAUUUAUAAUUACAUCUUAUUUAUUUGGAUUUUCAUAUCCAACAUUAACCAAUUAAAUUAAUCACAUACAAUAUUUUAAUUAAAUAUACCAUUUUAGCAAAUAUCACAAAAUUAUAAUUUUCAUUAUAACUUUAUUUAAUAAUUUAAUUUACCCUUUUAAAUUAUUAAUUAACAAUAUAACACUUCAUAUCAUAUUACAACUCUCUAAAUUAUAAAUUAAUUUAAUUUAGAAUAUUAUCUAAUAAAUUUAGAUUCAUAAAUAUUUAUUAACAACUAUCACAUCAAUAAAUAUUUAUCCCACAAUAAACACCUCAAAUAAAUAUUUAUAUAAUCCAAUAAAUAUUUAAAAUUACAAUUUGAAAUUCCGGAUUGUUACAAUUGUACACGAAUGACUUGGAUUUAUCUGUUGAAACAUAAAAAUGAUAUUUUUCAUGUAUUUCAAUCAUUUCAUAAAAUGAUUCAGACUUAGUUCUCUACUAAAAUAUGAACUCUUCACUCUGAUAAUGGUGGAGAGUAUGUGAAUCAACAGUUUCGUGAUUAUUUCCAACACUAUGAACUAAUUCAUGAAAUCUCAUGCCCCUAGACUUUGCAACAAAAUGGUAUGGUAGAGCGCAAGAAUCGUCACAUCCUCGAAACUGCUUGAGCUCUGUUACUUGGAGCUCGUGUACCUAGCCACCAAUUGGCUGAUGCUAUUGAGUUCAAAAUUCCGUUACAGGCCUUGUCAAGAUAUGGGUCAUUACCCAUAGUAAUGAUUGUUCCACCUCGCGCAUUUGGUUGUGCUGCAUUUGUGACGCCCCCAAAAUAGGUCCACACAACCCAUUCUGAGUCGCCAAAUACGUGGUAUAGAAAUCAAAUACAACUUUAUUUAUACAACUAUUAAUUGUCGUGUAAAAUACGACAAAACAUACGCUGUGAGUUUUAAUACAAAUAUCGUCUCGUAGACAAUAUCCUAACUCAAAUAAAAUCCUCAUUUCAAUUAUAUAUUGUCACACUAUUUUACAAAAUAGUGAGGAUUACUAAAAUAACCAUCUUGGACCAUUUCUCCACUCCCCGACUAGUCUCAUCUAUAUUUUCGCCUCCUGAGAAGAACAAUGGAACCAAAAGGAAAAGGGUGUGAUCAAAUACCCAGUAAAGAAUACUAUGACUAAGAUAAUGUAGAACAAAUUAUCCUUAGUCCUCAACAAGGAAAAAUCUGAUAGAAUACAAUAGAAAACAAGUUUUAGAUCAAUAACUGCAGCGAAAAUAAUAAUAAAUUAGAAGAGUCAAGUAGAGCAUGAUGUCUACUAUCUUCUAUGAUUUAAAAGUUUAUCAUCAAUAUUUUAUCCAUGUAACACCAAUCAAUAAUUAUUUCUAAUUAACGAAUUAUCUAUGCACUACGAGCCAAAGAUAAUCGUUUGUAUCACCAGUGGUCAUACAUCUGUCCAUCUAUGCACUACGGGCCAAAGAGGACUUCCAUCACAAACUUUAUUUGUACCAUUAAAGGUUAUGAUUAUACCAAUACACAAUUCUUGAUCAUAAUCAUACCAAUCAACAGUCCAUCUUUGCACUACGGGUCAAAGAUGACUUUUACCACAAUAUAAGCAUGAGGAUGAUGACAAUGAUUUAAAGAAUCAAUCAAGUGAGAUCAAGGAUAAAUAUUAGAUAUUUAUAAUUCAAUUUAUCCAGAGUUCAAAAAUGUCCAAAUUGUUAACAUGAUAACUAAUUGUGGAGUAAAAUUCAAUAAUGAUAUUUAUGUAUCAAAAAUAAUUUGGACAGAAAAGAAAAUUAAAUUCUGUUGUGAACAGUACUCAUGAAUAAUACCGUAUGAAUAGUACUAUAUGAAUAGUACUCCGACAUGAAAAGAUUAAAAUUUAAUAAGAAAAAUCAGACCAAUAUUCCAGUGAAAUGAUAUUAGAUGAAGCGCAAAUCUUAAGGAAUUUUUAAUCAUUUCAGGAAUUAUAGAAGCAAUACUUACCAUAGUAAGUUUAAAUUUAGGAAUAUGAAAUGAAAUAAUAUCACUUGCAUAAUAUGGAGUAUGAAAGAAAAUGAUAUUUCUUACGAGUAUUGAAAUAAAAUAAUAUCCUUUACCUUAGUAUAAACUAGAUUUGACUGGAAUAUUGGAUAUUAUCCUGAGAAAAUCUUGCACUAAAAGCUACACUCAAAGUAUUCUUAUACUCAAAAGAAAUACUCAAAAUAUUACAAUAGGAAUGUUUACAAUAUUUGGUGUGUUUAGGAUGGAGGUUGCCUCUCCUUUUAUAGUGCAACCUCGGAGUAAAAAUCAAAUACAUUUGCCUAACUUUGCCAAACUUCCUUCUCCGCCUAACUUUCAUUCUCUGCCUAACCUCUCAUUUUCCAUGGUUGAGGGCCCUCUAAAUUUGGAAAAGAAUUUGCAGGAGGAAUAAUUCAAGUAAGCCUCCACUUUGAAAAAAUAUGUAGGAGAGAAUUCAAAAUAUGCACGGAAGGUUUUGAAAAGAAAUUCAAAACCAAAAUGAUAAUCUUCACUCCACUUUUAUUCACAUGCUGAAAAUUAUAUAUUAUAAUAAUAAUAUUACCAUUUAAAAAAAUUAUAUUAUUAUAUUAUCACAUUAUACUAUUAUAAAUUAAUAUUAUAAUAAUAUAUUUGAAUGAAUAUUUUAUCGAAGAAGAUAAUUGUGAUUCUAUACAAAAAUAUGUCAAACUUUCAACAAAUGUUUCAUGCUAAAUUCCUUCAUUUAUAUCAAAAUUGAACCAAUAUUCACCACAUAAUAAUUAUUCACAAUUAAUAUUAUAAGCUCACAAUAUUAAUAAUUAGAUCAUUCUCAAGAACGAGGGGACUUUCUGAUAAGGAUAUAUCCUUAUUGGCGCACAAUUAUAUAACCUAGCCCCUUUCCUCGACAGAAUUUUCUAAACAUUGUCAAUAAUGCUAACUAAUAAUAUGAAUAAUUGUGUCAUGUCAAUUAUUGGUUUAAUAAUAUAAAAUAUUGUACAGAUGAUACUGUGGCAAUAAUUGAAUCAAUAAUAUGAGAUACUACGCAACAAUUACUGUAACAAUUAUAUUGAAUGAAACUGAGUGACUUCUUACGUAAGAAUCAAUAAUCAAAGAUACUAUGCAAUACCGUGUGCUACUUUGCAACCACGCGUAUUACUGUACUUUUAUCACCGUGUAUUUCAACAGUUAACGGUAAAAGUUUUGUCGUUAUUUUUUAUAAAAAGGUUAUUUCUGUCGCUUUCUAUAUCCGAUAGUUAUUCCGUUAUGUGGUCCACAAAUGAUUGCGUCGUUGUACGGAUAUUUCAUGAUAAAAAGAAUAUUCCCUAGCAAAAUGAAUAUUUUAUGACAACUUACUUACUUUGCAAAAUUUGCACAUAUCACCCAUAAUUAUAACAUUAUAUCAAAUCAACACCUUAUUAUUCAAAAUAAUAUUUAAAGAAAAUUAAAUCUUUAUUCAUAAAAAGUUGGGGUCUUACAACCUCCCCUCUUUAUGAUAUUUUGUCCUCGAAAUUAAUGUACGUACCUGGUAUGUCGAAGAGGUGAGGAUACCUUAUUUUUAUUUCAGAUUCUAACUCCUAGGUCAUUUCCUCAAUAUCGUGGUUUCUCCAUAAAACUUUGACUUGAGGUAAUAUGUUCCUUCUUAUCCAAGAUCUUGACAGGUACCUCCUCAUACAUUAAGUCUUCCGCUAUCUCAUCUGGUUCUAAUUCAAUAAUGUGGUUUGGGUCUUCUACAUAUUUACAUAACGUAGAUAUGUGAAAAAUAUUAUGAAUACGAGACAUACUUGGCGGUAAGGCGAGUCUAUAAGCCAUAAUUCCUACUCGAUCGAGGAUUUUAAAUGGACCAAUGAAUCGAGGAUUGAGCUUUCCUCUCUUUCCAAAUCUUGUAACUCCUUUCCAUGGAGCAACACGUAACAUGAUCUCCAAUAUUGAAUUCCACGUCCCUUCGAUGAAGAUCAUCAUCUCUUUUGUCGAUCUUAUGAGGUUUGUAUACGUUGUCGGAUCAUUUGAAUCUUUUCCGUAGUCAUGUGUAACAUUUAUGGUCUCAACAACGUUGCUUCACCCACCUCGUCCCAGCAUAUUGAAGAAUGACACUUUCGUCCAUCCAAUGCCUCGAAUGGAGUCAUGCCUAUACUUGUUUGAUAACUAUUGUUGUAGGAGAAUUCCACAAAUGGCAAGUACUUUUCCCAAGUUCCUUUGAAGUCUAGUAUGUAGAGUCUCAAUCGAUCUUCAAGAGUUUUAAUAGUCCUUUCCGACUGCUCAUCCGUCUGAGGAUGAUAUGCAGAACUGAAUUGUAAAUUAGUGCUCAUAGCUUUCUACAAACUGACCCAAAAUCGUGAAGUGAAUCUUGGGUCUCGAUCAGAAAUUAUGGAUAUUGGCAUACCAUGCAAUCUCACAAUCUCAUCUAUGUACAUACGAGCAAGAUGUUCAAGUGAAUAAGUUUCUUGUAUAGGCAAAAAAUGAGCAAACUUGGUUAAUCUAUCGACAAUGACCCAAAUUGCAUCUAUUCCUUGAGAAACCUUGGGAAGACCAGUAACGAAAUCUAUGUUGAUGUGCUCCCACUUCCAUUCAAGAAUUUUGAGUGGUUGCAAUGGACCUUUUGGUACUUGAUGCUCCGCCUUGGCACGUUGACAAGUUAAACACCUUGAGAUAAACUCCGCGGUCUCUCUCUUCAUAUUGCUCCACCAAAAUGUAUGUCGAAGAUCACAAUACAUUUUGGUACUCCCAGGAUGGAUUGCAAACGGUGUGUUUUGUGCCUCCAUCAUGAUUUUAUACUUCAAUUCAGAGUCGUUAGGGACACAAAGUCUAGAGUUGACUCAAAGUAUUCCUUCCUCGUCGAUCUUUGCUUCUAGAAUAGCACCUUCUUGAACUUUUUUCUUCAUACGCAUCAGCUCCGAGUCUGUAGCUUGAGCAGUUUUAACUUUAUUGAUUAAAGUCGAUUUUACCCGUAUAUUUGACAUCAUCACGUGGGUCCCUGGAGUUUUCAACUCUAUCUCCAUCCUUUGUAAGUCAUACAAAAUGGGUCUUUGCGUUAAAAAUAUCGCACUUGUACCCGCAUAUGAUAUUCUACUCAACGCAUCAACUACCACAUUCGCUUUUCAAGGAUGGUAUUGAAUGGUAUGAUCAUAAUCUAUUAACAGCCUCACUGUCUCAAUCGUAGAGUCCCUACGAUCAAUGUAACGCCCCCAAAAUCGGGACUAUUUUUCUUCCCGAUCUUGUGCGUUAAUAUUAUCUUGUUCUAGCUUUAAAACAUUAUUUAAUGUUAAAAUAGCUAAAAUUAUGGAAUAAAUUUUUUUUUCUUUCCAUUCAUUCAUUCCCUGAAUCGCAACCUUUACAAUUCUUCUUUAUACUAGAAUCAUAUUUAUUUUAUGAUUUAUUUUAUCAAAGUAACAUAUGAAUUUAUAUACAACUCACCUCUCUUCAAACAAAUAUUCCUUAUUCAACAAAUAUUUCAAACUGUUCAUAGUUGUCUUUAAGUCAUAUCUAGAAUCAUGAGAAUCCUCAUCUAUAUUUCUCUACGAUUUCUAAAUAAAGAAGAGAUAUCCUUUGUACGUCUUCCAAUCGUUAUCAUCUGGUCAGCUAUAGAUCAUAUCACAUUUCAAACAUGCAAAAAUAUAAUUUUUGCAACUCUAUCAUAUCUUGAAUCUAUAUCAUGAUUCAACUUGUAUAUCACAAUUAAUAUCAAUAUAGAUAUAAAAAUUUAGUUAUUAAAAUUUUCUUAGUUCCAGAAUUCGCAGCUGUUAUAAUCUAUACUCAUAUUCAGGAUUAUAUAAAUAUAAAGACCCAUUCCGAAAAGUCUCAUUUAAACAUAAGGUUCAAACUUUUAACUUUACUCAUCGCCGGAAUCUUUAAAACAUAAUUCAUCAACUGUAUAUUCACUAUACCCCACUUCAUGUGCUUCUAUGCUAUUAUAGUUACUUUACAAAAUAAUAGUAAAGCUACAUCUCGUAUUCAAAAAGAUUAUUUCUAUUCAACAUAAUUACUGGGUAUAACAACAUUUACACUACUCAAUUAAAUCACUUUACAGCAAGUAGCCUCAGCUCGGUACAGUCUAAACUUGAUGAAGCAAUACAUCUUUAAUACUCAUGUCUCAUCACAAAUCUUCGUUGUUAUGACCAUCUGAUAAAUCAACAUUUAUCUGCAUAAUUGUUUGCAAGAUUGAGCACUACGACCCAACAAGUCUAACAGUUUUCAUGCUUCACACAGCACAUAAUAUCAUGCUUAUAUCAUAUCUCAAGAUUAUUAUAAUUUAAGUAACAUUUGUAUUUCACACAUAUUAAAUAUCAAAUCAAGACUGAGUUUUAAAAACUCAAUCAAAUUUAGUCAAUAGUUGACUUUCAUCAUUCCACAAGUAUAACAUGUAAUCCAUGUAAUCAUGUCAAAUUCAUAUAACAAAUAGGAACAGGAAAACUUGACUUUUUGAUGCGAAGCUAUUAAUUUUACGCGAUUACACGUAUUCGAGGUAUUAUGCUCCUGUAUAGCACCAAUAUACACAUAAUGUUAUUACAAUGUUACAUUACCAUAUUCUACAAAUUCUAUUUAAAUUUGUGUUUUGCAAGUCUAAUAUCUCAUUCUUAACUUCUCUUAUUUUAAUAAGUUUGCUACAUAUGUAUGUGGUAUAAAUCUUAUUAGCUUUUACUAGGUUAAUAAACCAACCCACUUAUUUUUCAAAUACUUCAUCCAUGCUUAAAUGUGAAUUUUUUUAUUGGUACCUCAUUGAAUACAAAGAUAGGAAAAAAUAAAUACACCUUCGAUUAAACAAGGCUAGCUUUUCCUUGUAUAAUCAAAAUAUAACACAUUAGUUACAACAUGCCUCCUCACUUCAUUUGAGACUAACUAUAUUAACUUAAAAAUCUUUCAGUUUGUACAACUAAUUAUAAUCGAACCCCACACUUUUCAACUUUAUACUUUUAUAAUCUUAAGUUCUUAAGAUUUUACAAUGUUUUAGAUUAAUUAACUAAUCCUUAAUCCGUUUCUGAAUUUAUUUCAUCAUGUCGUUGCUAUUUUGCAUUAUUAAUGUCGUGCAUAUUACUUUAUGUAUUAAAGCUUAUUGCUUAACAUGAAACACAUUCCAUAAUUUCAACUCAACUCGAACAUAUUAAGAUUAACAACUGAAUUCUAAUUUAUCAACCAUAUUGGGUUCAAUUAAUGGUCCAAUUAUAAAUUAAUUAUAUAUUAUUAUAUAUCUUAACUCUUUUAAUGCUCAACAACACCCACAAUCAAAAUCAAAACGCAAGGCGAAACGCUGCCCGACAGCUGGUUGCCAGGCGUCUACCCAUGUGUUGCACGCUGCUAGGCCAACUACCUGGUGCAGCUGCUGCCCUGCCCCCAACUCCGCCUUAUCAUAAUGGUUACUUUGUGAUUUUAAAACUUUAAAUCUACAUUUUCAUUAACCUUCAAACUUGGGCAGCAUUAAGAUUGUAUAACUCUUCUAAUUUGGGCAUCCUAGACAGGUUAAACAGAGGGCUAAAACUGCCUUGUCAAAACAGUUUUCAAUUUUUUUUCCCAACUGUACCCUCUCUUGCUCAAACAGCCAUAACUUUUUAGUUUCAAAACAUUUUUGAGCGAUUCUUGAGCCCACGCGAAGCUAACUUCCGGGACUACAACUCCUAUUUAAUAACCUUUUCCAAAUUUUGCACCCAUAAUUCCAGAAAAUUCUUGUAAGGGGCUGCUUCGAAUCUGUUUUCCAGAUUUGGGCAGUUUCGACGCACCCACUUUGGCACAUCUUAACUCAGUUGUCCGAACUCAGAAUUAGUCCGUUCCAAAGGUUAUGGCUAUCUGGGAUUGCACACUACUAGACCCCAGAAACUUAAAAUUUCCCAGAAAAUAUAACUAUCCGAAACAGUUAGCCAAAUGUAGUCCAACACACUAACUUUUAAAAUUUUCGUUUUGGCUUAAAAUUGCUUUUCGUUCUAAUUCGAUUUACCCAAACUCUUUAAUUAUUUAUAUAUAACAUAUAUGCAUAUAUCUUGAGUCUUAGCUCUUCCUAAUUAGGAGUUUUUAGGCAAAAUGGCCCUUUUAGGACUUUAAUCGAACACGUCGUGUGCGACUCUAUAAUGGGUUGAGAUCAUGUGGUUUUGUUUUUGUUUCAUUCCCAUUUCGUCAUCCUUAUAACUCCGCACAACAAUUACUAAACUCCAUGGUUCUAAUAUCAAUCCACUACAACCAAUACACAAAGAAAACUAUACAUACUAUCUAUUUCAUAAAUUAGUUUACUAACUUUGAAACUUUGAACAAAUUUCAUUCCUUUAGUUUCUAAAACAUACCUUAUAUUAUAAACUUCAUUGAGCUUAGUUACCAAUUGAUUUCGUAGCCCAUUCACAUACAAAUUAACUAUUUAACUAAUUAUCUACAUAUACUAACUAACUGAUUCAAUUUAUCAUGAAUUUCAUAAAAAAAACAUAAUACAUACUAAUAUAUACCUUUCUUGCUUAGUUAUGGUUUCACUAUCUUUUAUGCUUUAUUCCAGCUGCCCAAUCAAUUCUUGAAGAUUCUAUUUUCGUUUUAGCCGAACAGAGUGGGAUGGAAUUACGCACGGAUGGACUGAGGAUUGAAAGGGAAAGUGGCGGGUGGAGUUUGGCCAGGAAAGAGUAGAAAAUUUUAGUUUGGUUUUGAAUUUAUAGCAACCCUUUCCUUGUUCCCCAAAAAUUUUGCUUGACAUUACGUAUAAGGAUUUUUGAAUUUUAAGCGCCAACUCCUACUUAAUAAAGUUUUUGUUUAACACAGCUCAUGUUUUAUCUCUUACUGACUCAGCUGCUUGUUUUAUUUUCCCCGACUCUUAUAUUAUUUCCUCUUUUUUCUCUCUAAACUUAGCCAAUUUGGCUUAAAAAUAAAUAUAAGUAAAUUUUAAUUUUGCUUAUAUAAAAACUACUUUCAAUUUUUAUAAGUUGGCCAACUUAAGUCUUCUCUAGUCUUCCCCCUAGUCUUUUAAAGCUUGCAAAUCACCCUUGAUAUAUUCUUAGCAUAUUCUCAGAAUAUUCUUUAUUCCUUAACAUAUUCCUUAAAAUAUUUUCUUAAGUUUCAAAUUUUAAGUUUUUAACCCUAAGGUAUUCUUAACUCGCACAAUUCCCCCUUAACUUUUAUAAUUCACUUCCAUACUUUAUUAAGUUAUUUAAUUACCCAAUCUUAGUAACUUAAUUUAAUUAAAUAAGUUACUACAUAAAUUUCCUUAAUUUAUUUUACUCUCUCGGAAUUAUAUAAUUUACAUAACCCAUCUUUGAUAUAUAAAUUAUAUAAAAUAUAACAUAACAUAUUCAAAUUAAAUAUUUAUUUUAUAAAUGUAAAAUAAAUAUGCUACACAUAAUUUCUUAUGUAAAUAGAAUUAUUAACAUACCCAAGAUAUUAUAAUAUAAUAUCCUUACUUCAUUAUCAUAAAUUCAAUUAAGAAUUUAUUUAUUUUCUUAAGAUAUUAAGCUAAAUAUAAUAUCUUUUCUUUAUUAAAUUAAUUUUAUAUAUGAAUUUAUUCUAAUAGUCUUGGGUAAAGUAUAUAUAAAUAUUAUAUGCUUAACCCGUCUCUUUUUGCCUCAUUACUCAAAUUGUUCCCAAUAAUUUUAUUUCUCUGUGUAAUAUAUAUAUAUAUAUAUAUAUAUAUAUAUAUAUAUAUUAACUUGCAAAUAUUCUUUAUAAUGCACAUGUACUCACAUCACAUAUAGAAAAUAAAUAAUAAAUUUAUUCUCUCACCUUAUAAAUUGUUUAUAUCAAUUUAUUUAUAUAUAGUAAGUAUAACUUAAUAUAUUUACCUUAUAAAUGGAAAUUUAUUCAGUAAAUAAGAUAUUAUAAUUAAAAUAAUAUCUUUUCUUUAUUAAAAUAAUUCAACUCUAGAAUUUAUUUUAAUAUCAUUUAUUUAAAGUAUACAAUAAUUCUUGUAUAUUAAUUACUUUGUUUUCCCUUCUAUAAAUUGUUUUCAACAAUUUAACUAUAAUAAAUAUAAUAAUAUAAUUACUACAUUAAAACAUACAUACCUUACGUCCAAUAAUGUAAUACAUGAUUUCUUCAAUAAAAGGGUGGUUAUACAUUAAGUAUAUAUUUAAUGCCACCAAUUCACCACAUUAAAAUAAUUUAAUAUUAUAGAUUAUUUUAAUUCUACCCAUCUCAUUUCCUUUAAUAAAUUGCCCUUACAAUUUAUUUACAUAUAAUAAAUAUAUAAUACCAAUAUAUUUAUUAAGCAUAAACAUCACAUAUUGCAUAGUUCAUACCCACUUAUGCAAUAUAAUAUCAUACAACAUAUUAUCUAAUAAGAAUUUUAUUUAUUUAAUUCUUAUUUUAAUAUUACCCAAAAAUUUGGGUUAUCACAUUUUUCCCCCUUAUAAGGAUUCCGUCCCCGAAAUCAUAAUACCGAAUCCUUCUUAAUCGGUUUAGAUCAUAUUCUUUCUCGUCACAUUAUCGUUGAAUCAUUUCAACGUACCAUUUCCUUAGAUUUUUUCAAAAUUUAAAAUAAAUCAUCUAUUUUCACUCUAGGUUUUAAACUUUAACCUUUCAUUUAAUCAUUCAAGAUUUUUCUAAAUUUUUGGGUUGUCGCAUUCACCCUUUCUUCUAAGAAUUUUGUUCCUGAAAUUAUAGUCUACUAAUCUUUGCUUCUUCUAUUCACCGAAAAUAGGUUUUCAAUUUAACCUUUACAUUUUCCUCCUCUGAGGAUUUCUCAUCUAUCAUCUCAUUCAACCAUUUCUACCCGUUUGAAGAAGUUAAAAACUUUUCAUAUUAUGCUGAGGGGUCAUAUAGACCAUGAACUCUCAAGUUUAACGGUAUUCACCGCAAUCAAUUAUGUAAACAUGUUGUACUAGGUGAUCAACCUAGUACAGAUACGAGUACGUUAGGUGAUCAGCCUAUUGUACCCUACGUCCUGCACAACAUAUCAAUCUUAUUUAACGACUAUUUGCGCUACUAGAUUGGAUUAUUUUAUCCAAUCGGGAUUGUUCACCUCAGACUUAGCAUAAGAUUCCGUACCAAAACAAUUUGGUUCGGGAUAAAUUCUCAAAGAAUACUUGAAUUUUCAUAAACAAUUUCGUAGCUGAAUCAAAUAGCUUAGACGCAUAUCAAUAAUUCGAACAUCAAUCGAAACAUUUGUCUAGCCACUAUAAUUGACAUUGACUUUUCUUUAACUAGUCUAAAAUUCUGAAAAUCAUUUUAUGAUGUCAUGAUACCGCACUGUAUUUACAGUUCGUUUGAGAAUUCCGUCAUUUGUUGAUUUUAUCAUACUACAUCAUACCAUAGUGGGCUGACGAUCCUUAGAUCACAUCCAACACUAAGUAAUACUGCAUUGUUGACUCCAUCGUUUUUAUCAUCUCUGCACUAGGUUCCAUGAUGCAUUGAUGAUAUAUAAAAUAUAUUUUGAUAUAUUUCAAAUCAUUUUUGUCUAGCCAAAGCAAUUAGCAUAGACUCUUCUUUAAUGGUUCAAAACCAUUGAAAAUCAAUUUUAGUGUUAUCAUGUCGUAACAGAUAAUGAGAUGUUAGUGGUUCACAGUCCACAUACACACCUUUGUCACCGUAUGUUAUUGAUAACAAAAUUUAUUUUUAAAGGCACCAUAGUGCGAAUUUAGCUUGAUGUCAAAAAUUUUGAAGUCUAGCAUAGCUAGAAGAUUUGGAAUACAUAUGCUUCCACCAUCAACUUCAAUUUCUCUAAUGAUCCAUUGCUUAAUAAGUCUAUCUAUUCUUAUCAUCCUCAAUACUCCAUUCAUACUUAGUUAUACCCCAGUUCAUCAAACUUACUACACUUUGAAAAUCCAGGAACUUGCCAUAAUCAUAUGAGUUUAGAAACUUAUCCUAGUCAGACCAUAGGCGUCCAUUCGUUGAGGGGUUCAAAACAUAUCAUAUGAUUAUGAGUCACGAACUUACCAUAUGCAUUAGUUUUAAGAACCGUACCUAAUCUUAAUAUCAUCUAACCUAAUCUUGUUUUCUCUACCUAUCCGUUAUACACAUGAGAAAAGAAUCACCUUCUCAACAAGUAUAUAGUAAAUAGCGCGACACAAACAUUUCAAUGAUUAUCACUGCCAGAAGCUAAGUGGUUGUUACACCAAGUACAAUUCCCCGCCCAUACAAAGAAUCAUACAACUUAGCUGCUGACACAAGUUCUCAAUUGAAAUCCCACCGAAUUCUAGCUUCCCCUUACUCAAUACAAAUUUUAUUUAAUCCGUAUCUCAUUAUCUACAACUCUUUUCUGAGUUUGCAUAGUACCAUUUCAUAGUACAUUCUCUUUAUAGUGUCAUGCUAUAUCAUUCCAAUCAUUUCAUAGAUUUUUUGCUAUUCAAUCUGAUCACGCCGUGAUCUUAUCUUAUAAUCGUGUUAUAUUACGGUUCUCUUAUAUCUUAUGAUCGUUUUGUUUUACGAUCUCCUUUCCCUUUAUACUUUUAGUCUCAUAGACUCUAUCUAUUCAUUAUUACUUUUUGUCUUUAACAUCAGAGUUAGGUAACUCUAGAUCUUUAUAACUUUUUAAGAUUCUUCUUUGAAUCUUAUUUACUAAAUAAUGAAUUUUCCAAAUUCAUCUCUUAACAAAUUAAACCCUAUUUGAGUUUAUUCCUUAUCCUUAUCACUAUGGUUAUAGCCUAAGGUACACCUACCUAAGGUUUAUAACUUACAACUUUGAUACCAACUGUAACGCCCCCAAAAUCGGGACUAUUUUUUUCUCGAUCUUGUGCGUUAAUAUUAUCUUGUUCUAGCUUUAAAACAUUAUUUAAUGUUAAAAUAGCUAAAAAUAUGGAAUAAUUUUUUUUUUCUUUCCAUUCAUUCAUUCCCUGAAUCGCAACCUUUACAAUUCUUCUUUAUAAUAGAAUCAUAUUUAUUUUAUGAUUUAUUUUAUCAAAGUAACAUAUGAAUAUAUACAACUCACCUCUCUUCAAACAAAUAUUCCUUAUUCAAUAAACAUUUCAAACUGUACAUAGUUGUCUUUUAGUCAUAUCUAGAAUCAUGAGAAUCUUCAUCUAUAUUUCUCUACAAUUUCUAAAUAAAGAAGAGAUACCCUUUGUACGUCUUCCAAUCGUUAUCAUCUGGUCAGCUAUAGAUCAUAUCACAUUUCAAACAUGCAAAAAUAUAAUUUUUGCAACUCUAUCAUAUCUUGAAUCUAUAUCAUGAUUCAACUUGUAUAUCACAGUCAAUAUCAAUAUAGAUAUACAAAUUUAGUUAUUAAAAUUUUCUUAGUUCCAGAAUUCGCAGCUGUUAUAAUCUAUACUCAUAUUCAGGAUUAUAUAAAUAUAAAGACCCAUUCCGAAAAGUCUCAUUUGAACAUAAGGUUCAAACUUUUAACUUUACUCAUCCCGGAAUCUUUAAAACAUAAUUCAUCAACUGUAUAUUCGCUAUACCCCACUUCAUGCACUUCUAUGCUAUUAUAGUUACUUUACAAAAUAAUAGUAAAGCUACAUCUCGUAUUCAAAAAGAUUAUUUCUAUUCAGCAUAAUUACUGGGUAUAACAACAUUUACACUACUCAAUUAAAUCACUUUACAACAAGUAGCCUUAGCUCAGUACAGUCUAAACUUGAUGAAGCAAUACAUCUUUAAUACUCAUGUCUCAUCACAAAUCUUCGUUGUUAGGACCAUCUGAUAAAUCAACAUUUAUCUGCAAAAUUGUUUGCAAGAUUGAGCACUACGGCCCAACAAGUCUAACAGUUUUCAUGCUUCACAUAGCACAUAAUAUCAUGCUUAUAUCAUAUCUCAAGAUUAUUAAAAUUUAAGUAACAUUUGUAUUUCACACAUGUUGACAUUGUCAUAUUUCAUCCUUAUGUUUUGAUGAUGAAAUGUUUAAAUACUAAAUUGUUUUAUGAUGUUUCAGGUAUUUGUUGAUAAAACAACAUUGACGGAAUUUUCAAUUAGACGAAGAACUUUUUCUUUCUAGGAAAACAAAUGUAAGAUCAAUUGCAUAAUAAUUGAUUUUUCAUUUAAAGGCUAUAGGACAUAUUAUUUGCGUUAUAUUUUGUUAUAUGUCUUAAAUGAAAAAUGAUUUAAAAAGAAUUCUUAUGAAAAAGGUUUUUCUAAAAAUAAUAUAUCACUUAAAAUAUUAGCUUGUAUGUCUAAUAGAUUACAUAAGUGAUAUAUGGGUGAUUAAUUGAAAUGCUACACGUGGAUAUCUAGAGGUUGUCAGCUAUACUUUAUGAUUUGUUGCACGUGCAUAUCCGGUUGUGAUAUGAGUACUUCAUGCUUGCUAACCAUUUAUUGUGAUAAGAUGUUUGUGAGAGUUUCAAGGAGAAAUAAUUAUGGGUAUCUUGGAUUUUUAAAAGACCUUGAUUCUUGAAAAAGAUAUGGAAUGGUUCACUCCACUAUUUCACACGUCACAUACCACUUUAUGAGAUAAAGUCAAAGAUUGUUUUUAAGUGGGUUACUUGAAUAGGCUUUGGAAAUCAUAUAUAGAGUAUUACUUGUGGUGGCAGGAGUUAUGAUGACAAAGACAUAAAUGCAAGAACUCUAUUUCAGAUAAUCAGUCAAACAUAUAUCUGUUAUAUAAGAGUUAUUUUCGGAUCUAUUUCAAACUGAUUAUUUUUUAUCCGAGUAAAAAGCUUUUAACGAAAAUAAUUCUGGAACAUCACUUAUCUUAAAUUCUGUUGGCAACGUAAAUAAAUUUACAACGGAUCUUUGCAUACAACAGAAAUAUUUUUAGCUAUAAAAGAAGUACUGAGAUCAGUGUUUGGUACACAACUCACGAAAAUAUUUCUUUCACUUAUUACUGUUAUUAUCGAGCAAAUUGAUUUUGUCAAUGCAAUCUUUGAGAAGCUAAGCAAUUAAAUUUCUGAUAUUAUUUGAGCUGGUAUUUGGUAAGAAAUUAAUUGUUUAUUUAUUUUGUGCUAAUUGAUCAUUGCAUAUAGUUGAGCCUUUAAUUGUUAAAUUGAUUAUUUUUGUAUUGAUCAUAGACCUCUAUAUUUGUAUUGGAUUUUUAUUUAGACUAAGUGUAGUCUAAAGGUGUUAAUCCUAGUGGAUUAGAGAAAAGGGUUACAAACAGGUUCAAGGAAGCAAAGGUGCUUGAAGAGUGCAUAGGUGCAUAAGGAGCAAGAGAGCUCAAGAGAAAAUUAAGUGUUAAUUAAUUUUUGUUAGAAUCUGUUUUGUAAUCUGUAUUUAUUUAUAAAGAAAUAAAUAAAGUGAGUCUCCAAUACUAGUUGGUAUUGGGCGUGGACUAGAUUAUUAUUAUAGAGGGUAAUAGCUGAACCACGUAAAAAAUCUUGGUAUUGAUUUUAUUAUUUGCUUUACUUUAAAAUCACAUAAGCUAUUUUAAUUAUCUUAAUAAUUAAAAUUUGAAUACUUAUAUUAUAUUAAGAUAUCUCUUUAACAUAAAGUAUUUUACUUAAGAUAUAAAUUCAGUAGGAUAUUUUCUUUAAUAUGCUAUAUUAAUUCAGUAAGCUGAUUUCAAUCAUUAUAGUAGCCUGAAGUUAAUAAUUUAAUUUAAAGUUUAAAAGUUGGUCAUAGAUUGCUCCCACACUUAUUCAACCCCCCCUUCUAAGUGUGCCUAGAUAAAUUUCAACACAUAUCAAAUAUCAAAUCAAGACUGAAUUUUAAAACUCAAUCAAAUUUAGUCAAUAGUUGACUUUCAUCAUUUCACAAGUAUAACAUGUAAUCCAUGUAAUCAUGUCAAAUUCAUAUAACAAAUAGGAGCUGGAAAACUUACCUCUUUGAUGCGAAGCUAUUAAUUUUACGCGAUUACACGUAUUCGAGGUAUUAUGCUCCUGUAUAGCACCAAUAUACACAUAAUGUUAUUACAAUGUAUAACAUUACCAUAUUCUACAAAUUCUAUUUAAAUUUGUGUUUUGCAAGUCUAAUAUCUCAUUCUUAACUUCUCUUAUUUUAAUAAGUUUGCUACAUAUGUAUGUGGUAUAAAUCUUAUUAGCUUUUACUAGGUUAAUAAACCAACCCACUUAUUUUUCGAAUACCUCAUCCAUGCUUAAAUGUGAAUUUUUUUUAUUGGUACCUCGUUGAAUACAAAGAUAGACAAAAAUAAAUACACCUUCGAUUAAACAAGGCUAGCUUUUCCUUGUAUAAUCAAAAUAUAAAACAUAAGUUACAACAUGCCUCCUCACUUCAUUUGAGACUAACUAUAUUAACUUAUAAAUCUUUUAGUUUGUACAGCUAAUUAUAAUCGAACCCUACACUUUUCAACUUUAUACUUUUAUAAUCUUAAGUUCUUAAGAUUUUACCAUGUUUUAGAUUAGUUAACUAAUCCUUAAUCCGUUUCUGAAUUUAUUUCAUCAUGUCGUUGCUAUUUUGCAUUAUUAAUGUCGUGCAUAUUACUUUAUGUAUUAAAGCUUAUUGCUUAACAUGAAACACGUUCCAUAAUUUCAACUUAACUCGAACAUAUUAAGAUUAACAACUGAAUUCUAAUUUAUCAACCAUAUUGGGUUCAAUUAAUGGUUAAAUUAUAAAUUAAUUAUAUAUUAUUAUAUAUCUUAACUCUUUUAAUGCUCAACACCCACAAUCGAAAUCAAAACGCAAGGCGAAACGCUGCUCGACAGCUGGUUGCCAGGCGUCUGCCCAUGCGUUGCACGCUUCUGGGCCAACUACCUGGUGCAGCUGCUGCCCUGCCCCCAGCUCCGCCUUAUUAUAAUGGUUACUUUGUGAUUUUAAAACUAUAAAUCUACAUUUUCAUUAACCUUCGAACUUGGGCAGCAUUAAGAUUGUAUUUCAUAGUAUUUUAGAAAAAUAUAACUCUUCUAAUUUGGGCAUCCUAGACAGGUUAAACAGAGGGCUAAAACUGCCUUGUCGAAACAGUUUUCAAUUUUUUUUUCCAACUGUACCCUCUCUUGCUCAAACAGCCAUAACCUUUUCGUUUCAAAACAUUUUUGAGCUAUUCUUGAGCCCACACGAAGCUAACUUCCGGGACUACAACUCCUAUUUAAUAACCUUUUCCAAAUCCUGCACCCAUAAUUCCAGAAAAUUCUUGUAAGGGGCUGCUUUGAAUCUGUUUUCCAGAUUUGGGCAGUUUCAACGCACCCACUUUGGCACGUCUUAACUCAGUCGUCCGAACUCAGAAUUAGUCCAUUCCAAAGGCUAUGGCUAGCUGGGAUUGCACACUACUAGACCCCUGAAACUUAAAAUUUUCCAAAAAAUAUAACUAUCCAAAACAGUUAGCCAAAAGUAGUCUGACACUAACUUUUAAAAUUUUCAUUUUGGCUUAAAAUUGCUUUUCGUUCUAAUUCGAUUUACCCAAACUCUUUAAUUAUUUAUAUAUAACAUAUAUGCAUAUAUCUUGACUCUUAGCUUUGCCUAAUUAGGAGUUUUUAGGCAAAAUGGCCCUUUUAGGACUUUAAUCGAACAUGUCGUGUGCGACUAUAAUGGGCUGAGAUCAUGUGGUUUUGUUUUUGUUUCAUUCCCAUUUUGCCAUCCUUAUAACUCCGCACAACAAUUACUAAAAUCCAUGGUUCUAAUAUCAAUCCACUACAACCAAUACACAAAGAAAACUAUACAUAUUAUCUAUUUCAUAAAUUAGUUUACUAACUUUGAAACUUUGAACAAAUUUCAUUCCUUUAGUUUCUAAAACAUACCUUAUAUUAUAAACUUCAUUGAGCUUAGUUACCAAUUGAUUUCGUAGCCCAUUAACAUACAAAUUAACUAAUUAACUAAUUAUCUACAUAUACUAACUAACUGAUUCAAUUUAUCAUGAAUUUCAUAAAAAAAAACAUAAUACAUACUAAUAUAUACCUUUCUUGCUUAGUUAUGGUUUCACUAUCUUUUAUGCUUUAUUCCAGCUGCCCAAUCAAUUCUUGAAGAUUCUAUUUUCGUUUUAGCCGAACAGAGUGGGAUGGAAUUACGCAUGGAUGGACUGAGGAUUGAGAGGGAAAGUGGCGGGUGGAGCUUGGCCAGGAAAGAGUAAAAAAUUUUAAUUUGGUUUUGAAUUUAUAGCAACCCUUUCCUUGUUCCCCAAAAAUUUUGCUGGGCCAUUACGUAUAAGAAUUUUUGAAUUUUAAGCCUAUACUUCCUUCUUCAUGCCAACUCCUACUUAAUAAAGUUUCUGUUUAACACAGCUCAUGUUUUA